ACAGAACAUUGCCACUGUGAUGACUACUAUUUUUCUGCCCUCAUCUUAUCCCAGCCUACCCGUCAGCCACCCUGGCUUGUAGUCUGUUUCUCAAGCACUUAUGCUUCAAGUACCUUGCCUUUGAGGUGUAUUGUUCCUCAUGCUCAGGGCAAAGUCUAUUACCAUUCCUUUGGAGGUGAAACUAAGAAGUUAUAUCUGUCUCUCUGGCCCAUGAAGAUAAAUAAGUACUGUCUCAAUGGUGCUUUUGCUUACUGAAUGUAUGACCUAGGUUUCUAGCCAUGAAGUCCCUACGGAGAUGAAGAGUGGGAAGCAGUACAGUAACUGGUUGAAACCGUUCCACAAGGGAAAUUUCACUAGAUUUCAGAGAUACUGAUAGAUUACAAAUACUCUGGAAAUCUACCACUCAAGCUUGUGGACGCUUGAGUAAACUUUGGAUGACUAAUAGGUAACUAACUCCUGGUGAGGGCAAAAUAAAGCAGAUAAAUGAUAUAUGUUAAACUAGUAAAUUAUUUAAAGUUUCUACCUUCUUAUUAGGGCAAUUUCUGUUUUGUCCGAAACAUAAGGAAAAUGGAUUCUGUUUAUGUGGAAAAGCUGAAAACUGUUUCUUUAUUGAGUUUCCAUAUUCAUAACUCCAGCAAAUAAUUAAUGUAACAAAUCUGAUUUCAUGAAAAGUAAUUCAAUUUUAUGAUGUCUACAACAAUUAAAUUUAUCAAGACCCAUAAUUAUAAAAUAGAAAAAAGCAUGAUAAUCUGUGAAAUUACAUAUAUCAAAAUGUUUCCAUAAGAGGAUUUAUUUUUUUACAUAUUAACAAGUAUAUAUAUUAUAAAACUCAGAUUAUUUUAUAAUUUUAUAAUAAAACACAAUAGAUUUUUUAGUUUAAGAAUUGAAAUUUGGACUUAACCUUUGGACAGUUCCACGUGAUGUUAAUAAUAUAUUUUAGUCAUUUAAAAUAUUCUGACUGUUCUUAUUUAUGGAAUCAUUCAUUAGGGGCCCUUAGUCCAGAAA
Molecule: long non-coding RNA, 1005 nt
Organism: Bos taurus (domestic cattle)
Lineage: Eukaryota; Metazoa; Chordata; Mammalia; Artiodactyla; Bovidae
Source: Ensembl